Molecule: long non-coding RNA, 247 nt
Filed under: Phoenix dactylifera (date palm)
Lineage: Eukaryota; Viridiplantae; Streptophyta; Magnoliopsida; Arecales; Arecaceae
Description: long non-coding RNA (PDAC_LNC020678)
Source: RNAcentral
GAUAAUUUUGUUACUAAAUACUUUCCAACCCAAAAACUGUCCAAAUAGGACCAAAUAGUGGAAUGAAUGAACAAACAAACCCAAGCAUUCUCUCAUACCCUAGAACCUUCUCAAAAGCCUCACCUCUAAAAUCUCUCCCCCGUCACAGGAAUUCAGCAAGUUAAUCAUGUAAUGUCCGGCCCAAUACAGACCGGGCCCAAUACUAUAGGGCCCAGUUGGAGAGUAUUGGGCCAGGAAAGGGUUAGCG